Molecule: signal recognition particle RNA, 264 nt
Filed under: Chloroflexota bacterium
Lineage: Bacteria; Bacillati; Chloroflexota
Description: Chloroflexi bacterium signal recognition particle sRNA large type
Rfam family: Bacterial large signal recognition particle RNA
About the family: The signal recognition particle (SRP) is a universally conserved ribonucleoprotein involved in the co-translational targeting of proteins to membranes. Archaeal SRP consists of a 7S RNA and homologues of the eukaryotic SRP19 and SRP54 proteins.
Source: RNAcentral
CCGUGCUAGACGGGGAGCCAGCGGUGCCCUGAACCCGCAAUCCGCUUUAGCGGGGUUGAAUUCCCUCCCGAGGUUGUACGCUCCAGACACGUUCGACGCGAAGUGGUGUUGAGGACCGGGUCCCAUGCGGCGGAAGCCUGUGAACCCCGCCAGGUUCGGAAGGAAGCAACGGUAAGCGGUCUCUUCCGGGUGUCGUGGGGAAGCCCGAUCUGAGCUAACUGGCGCCGGCGCGUUCGCGAGACGCAAUCGAAGGGGGGUGCACGG